Molecule: unclassified non-coding RNA, 241 nt
Filed under: Rhizoclonium sp. H80
Lineage: Eukaryota; Viridiplantae; Chlorophyta; Ulvophyceae; Cladophorales; Cladophoraceae
Description: sequence contains ITS2
Rfam family: 5.8S ribosomal RNA (bases 1-78)
Source: RNAcentral
AGAUUCCGUGAAUCAUCGAAUUUUUGAACGCAUAUUGCGCCCUCGCUCUCGGGCUUGGGCAUGUCUGCCUCAGCGUCGUUUUUAAUGGUUCUCCGUACCUGGCUCUUGUGCAAAGCAUGGGCUUAAGCUCUGAGGUAAUCGUACUUAGUACGACGAUAGCAGCAGUCUGCCCUUGACGCUGUUCAUUGUUAGCAAGCUAUGCAAGUAGCAAAAGUCUGCCAUGAACAGCUACGGUGGUGUG